Molecule: ribosomal RNA, 641 nt
Filed under: Coenosia semifumosa
Lineage: Eukaryota; Metazoa; Arthropoda; Insecta; Diptera; Muscidae
Description: eukaryotic LSU rRNA
Rfam family: Eukaryotic large subunit ribosomal RNA
Source: RNAcentral
ACCAUGAGACCGAUAGUAAACAAGUACCGUGAGGGAAAGUUGAAAAGAACUCUGAAUAGAGAGUUAAAUAGUACGUGAAACUGCUUAGAGGUUAAGCCCGAUGAACCUGAAUAUCCAUUAUGGAAAAUUCAUCAUUAUGAAUAUGAUAUGAAUAAUAUUAUAAAAAUGGUGUGCAUUUUUUCCAUAUAAGGACAUUGUAAUCUAUUAACAUGCCAUAAUUUAUCAUAAGAUCAAUGAUAAAAGUUUAUUCUUAUUAUUUUGCUUGCAAUUUAACAUAGAAUAAAGUCGUUGAUUUGAUAAAGUGUUGAUAGGCUUAUUAUAUACAGUGCUUGAAUAUUUAUAUUCUAUAAUAGCAUGGUAAUCAUGAUUAUUGUGUUUAUUAUAUGCACUUGUAUGAUUAACAAUGCGAAAGAUUCAGGAUACCUUCGGGACCCGUCUUGAAACACGGACCAAGGAGUCUAACAUAUUUGCAAGUUAUUGGGAAUUAAAAACCUAAUAGCGAAAUUAACAUAACUUUAUAUAUAAUGGGAUUAGUUUUUGACUAUAUUUAUAGUCUAUUAAUUCAAUCCCGGGGCGUUCUAUCAGUUAUGUAUUUUAACUUGUAUUAUUUAUACCUCUAACUAGAGCGUACCUUGAGCAUA